This 386-nucleotide ribosomal RNA is filed under the name uncultured bacterium. Its description in RNAcentral is "bacterial SSU rRNA". It matches the Rfam family "Bacterial small subunit ribosomal RNA", at positions 28 to 416 of the family's 1533-position model. The record is from RNAcentral.
GACGAACGCUGGCGGCGUGCUUAACACAUGCAAGUCGAGCGGUAAGGCCCUUUCGGGGGUACACGAGCGGCGAACGGGUGAGUAACACGUGGGUGACCUGCCCUUAGCUCUGGGAUAAGCCUGGGAAACUGGGUCUAAUACCGGAUAUGACUCCAUGACGCAUGUUGUGGGGUGGAAAGCCUUGUGCGGCUAGGGAUGGGCCCGCGGCCUAUCAGCUUGUUGGUGGGGUGAUGGCCCACCAAGGCGACGACGGGUAGCCGGCCUGAGAGGGCGACCGGCCACACUGGGACUGAGACACGGCCCAGACUCCUACGGGAGGCAGCAGUGGGAAUCUUGCGCAAUGGGCGAAAGCCUGACGCAGCGACGCCGCGUGAGGGAUGACGGCC